RNAcentral lists this transfer RNA (77 nucleotides) under bacterium. Its description in RNAcentral is "tRNA-Arg". It matches the Rfam family "tRNA". Rfam says of the family: Transfer RNA (tRNA) molecules are approximately 80 nucleotides in length. Their secondary structure includes four short double-helical elements and three loops (D, anti-codon, and T loops). Further hydrogen bonds mediate the characteristic L-shaped molecular structure. tRNAs have two regions of fundamental functional importance: the anti-codon, which is responsible for specific mRNA codon recognition, and the 3' end, to which the tRNAs corresponding amino acid is attached (by aminoacyl-tRNA synthetases). tRNAs cope with the degeneracy of the genetic code in two manners: having more than one tRNA (with a specific anti-codon) for a particular amino acid; and 'wobble' base-pairing, i.e. permitting non-standard base-pairing at the 3rd anti-codon position. The record is from RNAcentral.
GUCCCUCUAGCUCAAUUGGACAGAGCGUCGGGUUGCGGUCCCGGAGGUUGGGAGUUCGAGUCUCCCGAGGGACGCCA